GGAUAUGGCUCAGUUGGUAGAGUUCUUGCCUCACAUGCACAAGGCCCUGAGCUCAAUCCCCAGAACCA
This 68-nucleotide transfer RNA is filed under the name Marmota monax (woodchuck). RNAcentral describes it as "tRNA.Val". Lineage: Eukaryota; Metazoa; Chordata; Mammalia; Rodentia; Sciuridae. The record is from RNAcentral.